This 474-nucleotide ribosomal RNA is filed under the name bacterium enrichment culture clone Pav-Feb-Bd27-C2. RNAcentral describes it as "bacterial SSU rRNA". It matches the Rfam family "Bacterial small subunit ribosomal RNA", at positions 61 to 524 of the family's 1533-position model. The record is from RNAcentral.
GUCGAGCGGUAGCACAGGAGAGCUUGCUCUCCGGGUGACGAGCGGCGGACGGGUGAGUAAUGUCUGGGAAACUGCCUGAUGGAGGGGGAUAACUACUGGAAACGGUAGCUAAUACCGCAUAACGUCUUCGGGCCAAAGUGGGGGACCUUCGGGCCUCAUGCCAUCAGAUGUGCCCAGAUGGGAUUAGCUAGUAGGUGGGGUAAUGGCUCACCUAGGCGACGAUCCCUAGCUGGUCUGAGAGGAUGACCAGCCACACUGGAACUGAGACACGGUCCAGACUCCUACGGGAGGCAGCAGUGGGGAAUAUUGCACAAUGGGCGCAAGCCUGAUGCAGCCAUGCCGCGUGUGUGAAGAAGGCCUUCGGGUUGUAAAGCACUUUCAGCGAGGAGGAAGGGUUCAGUGUUAAUAGCACUGUGCAUUGACGUUACUCGCAGAAGAAGCACCGGCUAACUCCGUGCCAGCAGCCGCGGUAAU